UAAUACGGAGGGUGCAAGCGUUAUCCGGAAUCAUUGGGUUUAAAGGGUCCGUAGGCGGACUAUUAAGUCAGAGGUGAAAUCCCACAGCUCAACUGUGGAACUGCCUUUGAUACUGGUAGUCUUGAGUUAUAUGGAAGUAGAUAGAAUGUGUAGUGUAGCGGUGAAAUGCUUAGAGAUUACACGGAAUACCGAUUGCGAAGGCAGUCUACUACGUAUAUACUGACGCUAAGGGACGAAAGCGUGGGGAGCGAACAGGAUUAGAUACCCUGGUAGUCCACGCCGUAAACGAUGGACACUAGUUGUUGGAUUAUUUCAGUGACUAAGCGAAAGUGAUAAGUGUCCCACCUGGGGAGUACGAUCGCAAGAUUG
This 369-nucleotide ribosomal RNA is filed under the name uncultured Bacteroidota bacterium. Its description in RNAcentral is "bacterial SSU rRNA". It matches the Rfam family "Bacterial small subunit ribosomal RNA", at positions 521 to 896 of the family's 1533-position model. Lineage: Bacteria; Pseudomonadati; Bacteroidota. The record is from RNAcentral.